GGGGCUGUAGCUCAGCUGGGAGAGCGUCGCGUUCGCAAUGCGAAGGUCAGGGGUUCGAUCCCCCUCAGCUCCA
Molecule: transfer RNA, 73 nt
Organism: Plesiocystis pacifica SIR-1
Lineage: Bacteria; Pseudomonadati; Myxococcota; Nannocystales; Nannocystaceae
Rfam family: tRNA
About the family: Transfer RNA (tRNA) molecules are approximately 80 nucleotides in length. Their secondary structure includes four short double-helical elements and three loops (D, anti-codon, and T loops). Further hydrogen bonds mediate the characteristic L-shaped molecular structure. tRNAs have two regions of fundamental functional importance: the anti-codon, which is responsible for specific mRNA codon recognition, and the 3' end, to which the tRNAs corresponding amino acid is attached (by aminoacyl-tRNA synthetases). tRNAs cope with the degeneracy of the genetic code in two manners: having more than one tRNA (with a specific anti-codon) for a particular amino acid; and 'wobble' base-pairing, i.e. permitting non-standard base-pairing at the 3rd anti-codon position.
Source: Rfam